This is an RNA transcript of Ooceraea biroi (clonal raider ant), 6651 nucleotides long. It is a transcript of the gene named odorant receptor 2a, with no coding region annotated. NCBI's taxonomy places the organism in Eukaryota, Metazoa, Arthropoda, Insecta, Hymenoptera, Formicidae. The record is from RefSeq and is a predicted model, not a curated record.
AUGCAGGAAUGGCACGAAGGACGAUCAGCAACCGUUUAGAGCAGUUCCGGAAGCUAAACACUCUAUACAAAACGUAUCUAAAAUAUAUCGGCUUGUGGAUGCUUGAUUCGGACUCUCCCAUAUUAUUGAGAUGCCUAUAUUAUAUAUACAACAAACUGGUUAUAAUCAUCAUAUUUCUCUUCGAGAUAAGUGUACUCCUUGACAUUUACCUGAAUUUCGACGAUUUCUUGGUCGUCACCGACAACGUAUGCGUAUUCGUCGGGGUCUUCAUGAUAUUCUUCAAAAUGCUGAUCUUCCAAGCUCACCGUGAACAGAUCGCACGAUUACUCCAUGCGACCAUCAAGAGCUGCGAUCAACUUUGCAAAUUGACCACCAUCACAGGGAUAGACAGCAUGCAGCUGACCAUCGGCAUGCUAUCCCUUGCGCAAUUCGAGAUUUUGAACAAGCACUUCGAGAGCUGCGGCCGCGACAACGUCGGCCGACGCCGCGAGGUAUCCACCGAGGUCAACUGCGAUGAGGAUAAUUACGAGUCUUAUGAGGCUCGUCAUCGCGGCGGAUUUGCCGAGUGGUUCGGGAGGUCCGUGCGAGAUCAUCAACGUCUGCGCGUCAUAAUAGACGACUUCAACAAGAUAUACAACAUGUGCAUGUUCGUCCAGAUGCUGUUGAGCAUCACGAUGAUUUGCCUGACCAGCUUCCAGCUCUUGUUGGUCACCGGCCAGAGCUCCACUUUCAAGUUUUCGCUAUACCUGAUAGCGGCGGCUAUGCAGAUCUUCUUCGUUUGCUGGUUGGGAAACGAGGUGAUGUACCAGAGCGCGUUGCUGACGCAAAGCCAGUGGCUCUCGGGAUGGGAGGACGAGCUUUCCAACACCAAGACCGGACGUCUGCUAAUACUGUCCAUGAUAUUUUCAACGAGGACGUUAAAUAUCAAGGCAGGUGUGUUCUAUGACUUAAACAUGGAGACGUUCACUACGGUCCUGAAGGGCGCGUACUCCGUCUUCGUUCUAUUGAACAUGUACUCGGAAGAUCAGUAAAUCCGACAAAUUCUCGGCACUAGUUAACGCACGGCAAACGUCUGUCUGAGUUGUGACCAAGUGCAAGAUGUCUUGGAGAACCGGCAGCAGCACAUGCAUAGCAAUGAGAGCGAAAUUUCGCACGAUCGAGUCGAGUAGCGAUCGUGGUUCUGUCAAUCGUCAUCAAAGAAUCCACAUUGUGAGUUCGCCAGGAAGCGAAGCAGGUCCUGAUUUACGCCUUCGAAGUCGAGCCAGUCACGCAUAAUGGCUUAUCUCUUGGCUUGCGCCGAGAAAAGAUGCAAGGAGAGAGACAGAAGAGAGACCGAAGAGAGAGAGAAGAGAAGAGAAGAGCGAAAGACGUGGUUGUCCUCGUCGCGCCCGCACAAACGCUCCCGCGUUUGCUUCCUAGACAGAUGGUCGCUUUGCCACAUGUUACCUAACUGUAGCCUGUCUUUAAGUACCAUUCGUGCCUGGUGGUAUCGAAUACUUCUUGUCGUGGAUCAUUGUACUUAUGCCAUCCUCCGGCUAGCGUCGCGUGAUUCGAGCGCGAAGUUGUACGCCAACACGCGGCAGUAGCUGUGACUGUUCACCUUCGUUUCCCGUCUACCUGAUGCAUCAAUCUUACGGAAUAUGAUUCUCAAAAUAGCAUUUUCAUUUGACGAGAAAAAUAUAAACGACAAGUUGAUAAUGGAAAUUGGAUUUCCAAGUGGAAGUGCAAGUGGAUUUUCAAGAAAAAUGCGCUUUGAUUUGUCGAAAAAGCACAAAUUUAUCUGGAUUUUCUCGGAUAAGCAGCUAUUACGCAGUCAAUUUGCAUGGGAAAUUUAAACGGAUUGAUGUAAAAAAUUAAAGUACUUCAAGAAGAUUACUUCAAUGAAGAGGAUCGACCGGUUCACGAACGAAGACACGACUAUCCGCGAGCAAAUGCGAGGAACGUGUUUUCUGGAAUAGAAUUUCCCACAGAGAUACGAAUCUGUCGUCUCUCCGGCAUCGAUACAACGGCAUGUUCUCAUCGCCUGUAUUUGCUUUGCACUUUCCCCAGUUUCAUCGUCACCUCCUCGAGUCGCAGCGAUGUGACGACGAGACACUAUGUGAGCGUAUAAGUACGCGCGUUUCGCGAUCCGUUAGUGACGUUAAAAAGUCAGCUCCUUAGUACCAGGAAGGACACGUGCGUUUUCCCGUUUCUUCGAGAAAUAUUAGCGGAAUCUCACUGCUUAUAACCACGCCAAUAAUUGCUCCCGAACGACAAAAACGAUCGAACGAUCGUUGCAAGCCGCCUUUGCGCGUGGAUCCAUGAUAAUUAGAGGACACCGUGUUGUAAAUAUCUCGAGUGCGGAUUACAUUAACAUCGUGACGGAAAGAUGUCAUAGUCGAAUUUUAAUAACGGUUUCAACAAUGAUUACCUGCGAGGUAAGGGAAGGCGACUAGCAGGAGGGCAGAAGGGACACAUUUCGCGGUGACGAAAUCGCGGAUUAAAAGCUGCACGCGUGAGCGCACGAGCGGCCGAUUUUUCACUUAUCUCGCGUGUUUCAUCCAACGGAGACGUAAAUCCGACGUCGAGCUGUCCUUCGUGUUGCCGCGUUUCUUUAAGUGGUCCGUCCGAAAUAUGGCCGUACGAAAUACGCCUUUUACGUGCCGCGUGCGCCAGGCGCAUCCUUCUUCGUUCGCCUCCUUAUUUCCGGCGUGUCCUCUUGCUCGCGCGCGACUCGCAUACACGAUUCCGCGAGUCCCCAAAAGCCUGUGUCCCGACGUGGAACGACGUGCGUUACGUUAUUUCGUUUAACGUUUUCUUGUGCAUUCCGUCGAAAAAAAGAAACCAAAAGACUGAAGACGCAAGAUGCCUGGUAACGGGCGCGUUCAGCGCACGGCGAUGCUUCUUAACGCGGAGAUAUCUGUUAGUAGCCGUCGAGAUAAAUCCGACGCAGACAAAUCGACGAGAUUACUCCAGCAAAGAUAAUACCGUUUAUUAAAUAAAAAAAUUAUACGACAACGCUUUCGCGCUUUCUUAGCGUUGUCGUCAUGCAUGCCUAUUAAUGUAACGUGUUAGUAAUAAUACUGGUAGCUAUUACCUUAUUCUUAUUCUUGAUCCAGACGAUGAUGAAUCCGGGAGAGUUAAUCGGAUUUUGACAUCGAGCGUUUUAAAGCGAAAUGCAGUGGCCGAAUGCGCCGAGCACGAUAUUCGCACGAUUCCUGACGCGAGAGAGCGAUCAAAGGGACUAUCGGCGCAAUUAACACACAGUAGUUAGCACGUAAUAUAAUAUACAACAGCGAAUGAACUCGUGAUGAUAUCAGUCCCGCAACGAAGAUUUAAUGAAGAUACAAGGGUGGCGGACAAGCACGGGGAUGAGAUUAACCGGCAUCACGUAAUGAAUUCCUGGCGACGAUAAGCGGCGCGGAUCCUCCUUCCGCUCUGUCCUUGUUUCCUUCGUUUCACCGUCCCCUCAAUCUUUCCCCGAAAAUUAACAGCCCGCGCAUGGUGGGCGUACAAGACAGAAAUGACGACCUAAAAAGAAGAAAAAGAGGAAGAAGAUAGGAAGGUAAAGAGAGCAGAUCGCAUCGCGUUAAUUCGCGGUUCGUGCACGACGAUGACAAAUUGUGGCAUCCGUCUGUCUGUGCGUCCGUCCGUCCGUCGCGAGAUACAAGAGGAAGCGACGAAAAAGGGACAAGAACGCGCGAUCGUUGCGUUUCGAUGUGGGACACAAAUUCGCACUCUCUCGACGCAGACGGGAAAUAAAACCAAAAAGAAAAAAAAAGAAGAGAAGAGAGGCAGCGGUAGGACGUGGAUGCCCCUCUUAGGGCUCGUUAUUGUGCAUAAAUCUCCCAGAUUACUCGGGAUUUAUGGCUUUUUCAUACGCGCGCGAGCGGCAUUCACGUGUCUGGCUUGCGUGGCGACUCCUCGUUGUGGUAUCGCGUCCCUCGGGACCUCUGGACCCCGGUCCUUUUCAUCCGCGCGCGAGCGUAAGUCUUCGCGUGGCAGAAGCGUCUUUAAGCGGCGUCCUUUGGUUCGUAAAGCGCGUGUCAGGUACCGAGACCCUCAAGAGUGCAUUGUAAUGAGCCGCAAGAACGGCGUAUGCAGAUAACGCAAAAGGGAAACGUGUUCACGAGACAGUCAGUCGUGAGCGUACGAUACUCUGCCUUUAACGCUUUAAAGAAACAGAUAUCGUGAUUUCCAGAAAUGAAUACAAUGACUACUCCGUAUACCUCCGCUUUCUUCACAAAAAUUUUUUAUGAAACGUGAUAAGUUUGUUCGUCAACGAUUUCUCUUUCCAAAAUCAGAAUCGUCGCGACUCGUCUCGCGUGCCGAGCCACACCGUCCGCAUGGGAAACGGGUCGAUCGAAUGCACCCCGCCUGGGAAUCGUGGAGAGAACCUAAUAUUUCUCGCACGGGACCCCACAAAUUAAGAUACGCCGCGCGUUCUCGCCAACGCAUCCGGCUACACUCGCACCGUUACUUCUCUCUCUCUCUCUCUUGAAAAAUCCGCCUGCUGAAGAGACUCUCGGUCGCGGCAGUGAACAUAAAUCUUGGUCGCGACCGAUAUCCUGCCGGUUCCUUUUUUCCCUUUUACCUUCGCGACCCACGUCUUGGCCGGCGCGCGAUGCACCCCAUCGCGCGGCUCGCGUGAGCCGGCGUUAUCGCAUUCCGCACCAAGCGGGCGGAUUUUGUCGGCACGACUGAGAAAUUCACCAUGAAAUUCAUGGCGAGCUCGGGUUUUUGUGAAACCUGCGCGACCACGCGGCAUUUCAAUUUCGUCACGGAGGGAUCAGGAAUGGGGCACCGCGAGGCCAUCCUCAGAACGCUCGGCACGGCCCCCGUUAUCAGAGUUACAUCGGUGGUGCAUUCGCGAGGAAGAGGAACGCGCCGAUUAUUCAUUAAUUACCUUCCGGGUGGCCAAGGCGAUUUUUUCUGGUACUCGACUCUUUGCCAUGGCUGUGGCGGCGGUUAAACCGAUGAAAACGUACGUCUAAUUGCACGCCGGGUGGGCUGCGGCCGAUCGUGCACCCCGUCGAAUAUCAAUGCUUCUCCGUCACGUUCCUCUUCUUCCUCUCUUCUGCUCCCUCGUCCGGUAUCCCGGCGCCCCGAACGUCGCCGAUGGACCGUCGCCAUGGAAUUCGAUCUUAUGUCAAUAUUCAUAAGCGUGCGGUAGCGCAUUGGGAUGGGAUGACGUCGUUAAAACACCCAUGAAAUUAUCAGGGACCACGUUGUAAUCACUCUGAGAUCUUCUUGCAGCGCUGGGGAUCUUGUAAACGAUGUGCCGCGUGACGCGUCUUUAGGAGGGGCACCUGAUUUUUCCGCUUCUUUGAAUUUUGCCUGCAAUAGUAGGUGGAUCUUGCAAUCUUCUUGCAAGAACGCAAGCUGAACCUUAAUUAUCGGGAGAACGUUAAUUAUCGCAAUGUGCAUAAUGUUUUGAUUGAAUUUCUGUAUAACAGCAGUGAUAGCAGUCGCGAUCUUUUGCAGAAAAGCACGAAAUACGUUAAUGUCUUCAAGAUAAAACGGAAUAGAAAUAUGCGGUCAGAAGACCGCAGGGGACCACAGGUGACCGCAGCGGAAAUUGCAUAUUAAAAAGCUGGGUUUUAGCGGGAGAGAAUGCACACAUGAGAGGAUUAAAGAUACAGUAACAGAAAUAGAAAUAUAAUUUCCGUGGGCGCAUUCUUCUUUCUCGGGGUCGCAUUAUGUCUUAUUAUACGUUUCUUACGUACGAUUGCAAUUAGCGGGGAAUCGUGCAUGACGCGUUUUACGAAGGGGCCGGACCGUCUUCUUCGUCGGGAUCACGACGGAAAGCUCGGGGAUUUCGGCAGAUGACUUACGAGAGAUGUGACCAUGCCGCAUUAAAGGCAGUUUCAUCUUUUUAUGCUACGACGCAGUGUUGCGCGUUUUACGCAUUCGGGUACGAGUCUCGAGCCUCGCCAGGUAUUUAUUCGAUGUGUCACGCGAUGCAAUGAAGAUUGACAAUAAUUUUGGCGCGCUCACAUAUAGGUGGUGUGUCCUGUCAUAAAGCCAGUUGAGUGUUUUACAAGCGACACCCUCUCGGACGCACUCGAGAGAAGCGGAAUUCACGCGGAGCUUUAUUAUUCGGCAAUAAUUGUACGGCGGAGUCCUUAAUUAUGACUCGAGCUUUAUCAGAGAGACCAAUUCUGGCUGGGACAGGGAAGCUCUUCGAGGGUGUCCCGUUCGUUCUGCUACGCUGGAUAAAGCGUACAUAAAAUCGCGUUCUGCGCGGUCGGACGCGCUAUUCGAUCUGAUUGCAGUGAUCUUUAACGAGCCGCGAUGGGAACUGGACCCGACUGCGUGCACGAGUGGACGCGUGCCCGUCCGUGAACGAUCGUCGCCGAUCGUGAAAAGCGUCACGAUGACAAUCGCCUUGCUUCCUAGUUUGCUUGUAGCGCGGUCAACAAGGCGACGUGAGCCAUGCGAAAGUCGACCUCCUUUCCAGCGAUCUUGGCGCGGUAUGGUUUGGAUACGUCCCGUUCCAACGACGCACUACCAUCCUGCAAAAGCUUGAGUGAUCCUUCAGCCUGUUCCACUCGGCUCGAACGCGUUACCUGCGUGCAACCUGCGCACCGGAAUAAGGAAGCGCUUCCUCCGCCUGGCUGGCGAGACGAAGAGGAGUGCUUUGCCGGAGGAGCGAUCGCUGCUAUAGUCGCA